RNAcentral lists this ribosomal RNA (482 nucleotides) under uncultured bacterium. RNAcentral describes it as "partial 16S ribosomal RNA". It matches the Rfam family "Bacterial small subunit ribosomal RNA", at positions 30 to 507 of the family's 1533-position model. The record is from RNAcentral.
AUUGAACGCUGGCGGCAUGCUUUACACAUGCAAGUCGAACGGUAACAGGUCUUCGGCUGCUGCCGAGUGGCGAACGGGUGAGUAAUACAUCGGAACGUGCCUAGUAUUGGGGGAUAACUACUCGAAAGAGUAGCUAAUACCGCAUGAGAUCUACGGAUGAAAGCAGGGGACCUUCGGGCCUUGUGCUACUAGAGCGGCUGAUGGCAGAUUAGGUAGUUGGUGGGGUAAAGGCUUACCAAGCCUGCGAUCUGUAGCUGGUCUGAGAGGACGACCAGCCACACUGGGACUGAGACACGGCCCAGACUCCUACGGGAGGCAGCAGUGGGGAAUUUUGGACAAUGGGCGAAAGCCUGAUCCAGCAAUGCCGCGUGCAGGAUGAAGGCCCUCGGGUUGUAAACUGCUUUUGUACGGAACGAAAAGCCUGGGGCUAAUAUCCCCGGGUCAUGACGGUACCGUAAGAAUAAGCACCGGCUAACUACGUG